Molecule: ribosomal RNA, 352 nt
Filed under: uncultured bacterium
Lineage: Bacteria
Description: bacterial SSU rRNA
Rfam family: Bacterial small subunit ribosomal RNA
Source: RNAcentral
AUUGAACGCUGGCGGCAUGCCUUACACAUGCAAGUCGAACGGCAGCACGGGAGCAAUCCUGGUGGCGAGUGGCGAACGGGUGAGUAAUAUAUCGGAACGUGCCCGGUCGUGGGGAUAACGUAGCGAAAGCUACGCUAAUACCGCAUACGAUCUACGGAUGAAAGCGGGGGAUCGCAAGACCUCGCGCGAUUGGAGCGGCCGAUAUCAGAUUAGGUAGUUGGUGAGGUAAAGGCUCACCAAGCCGACGAUCUGUAGCUGGUCUGAGAGGACGACCAGCCACACUGGGACUGAGACACGGCCCAGACCUCCUACGGGAGGCAGCAGGUGGGUAAUUUUGGACAAGUGGGCGCAA